GUAAAUACGUGGAAAAAAAGAGUAGUAAUAACCUUUCUUUUUAUAGAAAGUCUGUGGUAGAUGGAAACAGAUAAAAGAAAAUUAUGAACUUGCUUUUUGGAGUAUAUGGGAUAGUUCCCUUAAAGACUAAUAAAGUAAUAAAUGAAGGUGGUACCGCGUUUAUAAAACGCCCUUUUG
RNAcentral lists this non-coding RNA (177 nucleotides) under Mycoplasma sp. RNAcentral describes it as "T-box sequence". It matches the Rfam family "T-box leader". From Rfam's summary of the family: Uncharged tRNA acts as the effector for transcription antitermination of genes in the T-box leader family. T-boxes are found upstream of many aminoacyl-tRNA synthetase genes and some amino acid biosynthetic genes usually in Gram-positive bacteria. The anticodon of a specific tRNA base pairs to a specifier sequence within the T-box motif, and the NCCA acceptor tail of the tRNA base pairs to a conserved bulge in the T-box antiterminator hairpin. The record is from RNAcentral. Lineage: Bacteria; Bacillati; Mycoplasmatota; Mollicutes; Mycoplasmatales; Mycoplasmataceae.